CAUGGUUUACAACCGUUUUUAGGC
Molecule: non-coding RNA, 24 nt
Filed under: Arabidopsis thaliana (thale cress)
Lineage: Eukaryota; Viridiplantae; Streptophyta; Magnoliopsida; Brassicales; Brassicaceae
Source: RNAcentral